This is a non-coding RNA of Coffea arabica (coffee), 802 nucleotides long. The record is from RefSeq and is a predicted model, not a curated record. NCBI's taxonomy places the organism in Eukaryota, Viridiplantae, Streptophyta, Magnoliopsida, Gentianales, Rubiaceae.
CCUCCCAAUUUUCCACUUUUACAACCACAACAGGACUCCCAACCAAUUUUGUGUCCCAUUUGCACUGCACAUUUUCUUUUUUGGCAAAUGGCUUUCAAAUUCGUGGCUGUGCUCUGUUGCUUAGAAACAGCAUAAGGAAAUGGAGCAGAGGAUCUGCCUAGUUGCUGGGCUAUCAUGCUAUGACAAUGUCUACACAUUUGACUGCUAUGUGUUUUAUCAUAGUCUACGGUAUCUGAGUAGCUUCUAGUAUAAUUUCUACUUUUACUGCUACUAGGGGCAUCUGUACUUGGAAGUACUGGCACCCUCAUGCUAUCCAUGCUUGCUUUAGGAUCCAUCACACUUUCUGCAAACUCUGAUAUGUAUGUAUUAAAUGGUAAAAAGGAUUCUCUUAAACAUGUUAAGGGCUGGGGCUGGAAUUCAACUGCAUGAACCAUGGAAAUCAAUGCAUCUGCUCUUGUUGAAUGUGAGCGGGUUAUGAUAUUAAAGAACAAUGUUCGAGAUCAUCUCAUGCUGGUCUGAUAGAGUUGCAGAUGAUGGACACUCGCUUGACACGUAUAGAGGAUCAUUUAAGCAUUACUCCACCUCAGGUGGAGCUGCAGAUGAAGAUGACGAUUGAAGCUGCACCAUUAGGAUCACUAUAUUUUGUGCAUGGAUUUGCUUCCAUUUUGUUCUUAAUCUGUGGAAUGUUGGAUGUUUAACUUGAUUUUACUUUUUCUGUUUUUUAAUUUACUAAAGACUUGUGCUUUUGCAGUGGUUUGUGAUUAUUGGCUGACAAGUUGUUGGAAAUAUUGCUUGGAUUAAA